Nematolebias whitei (Rio pearlfish) is the source of this 242-nucleotide long non-coding RNA. RefSeq lists it as uncharacterized. NCBI's taxonomy places the organism in Eukaryota, Metazoa, Chordata, Actinopteri, Cyprinodontiformes, Rivulidae. The transcript is spliced from 3 exons. The record is from RefSeq and is a predicted model, not a curated record.
CAGCGCCUCAGCGCAAGAACCUGUCAACGCCCAGAUCCCGACAUACAGUACGAAGUGCUGCCAGUGAUGACAUUCGAAAUGGCUCUCACGGCAAGGUCUGGCAGUGGAUCCAUCAUCCGAUCCAGGCACCGCGAAGACAUCUCUAGAUCAAGAUCCAGGUACCGCAAAAACAUCUCUAGGUCAAGAUCCAGGCACCACGAAGACAUCUCUAGAUCAAGAUCCAGGCACCACGAAGACAUCUC